CCUACGGGAGGCAGCAGUGAGGAAUAUUGGUCAAUGGACGCAAGUCUGAACCAGCCAUGCCGCGUGCAGGAAGACGGCUCUAUGAGUUGUAAACUGCUUUUGUACGAGGGUAAAUCCCGAUACGUGUAUCGGGUUGAAAGUAUCGUACGAAUAAGGAUCGGCUAACUCCGUGCCAGCAGCCGCGGUAAUACGGAGGAUUCAAGCGUUAUCCGGAUUUAUUGGGUUUAAAGGGUGCGUAGGCGGCAGUUUACGUCAGCGGUCAAAUGUCGGUUCUCAACACCGGACUGCCGUUGCAAAUGGUCUUCGUGAUGGAGCGAGAAGUAUGCGGAAUGCGUGGUGUAGCGGAGAAAUGCAUAGAU
RNAcentral lists this ribosomal RNA (359 nucleotides) under uncultured bacterium. Its description in RNAcentral is "partial 16S ribosomal RNA". It matches the Rfam family "Bacterial small subunit ribosomal RNA", at positions 338 to 695 of the family's 1533-position model. The record is from RNAcentral.